GUCGUCUUAGCUCAGUUGGUAGAGUGUGUGGCUUUUAAUCAUGUGGUUGUGGGUUCGAAUCCCACAGAUGGCG
Molecule: non-coding RNA, 73 nt
Organism: Impatiens glandulifera
Lineage: Eukaryota; Viridiplantae; Streptophyta; Magnoliopsida; Ericales; Balsaminaceae
Source: the annotation of a RefSeq genome assembly